RNAcentral lists this ribosomal RNA (495 nucleotides) under uncultured bacterium. Its description in RNAcentral is "partial 16S ribosomal RNA". It matches the Rfam family "Bacterial small subunit ribosomal RNA", at positions 28 to 507 of the family's 1533-position model. The record is from RNAcentral.
GACGAACGCUGGCGGCGUGCCUAAUACAUGCAAGUAGAACGCUGAAGGAGGAGCUUGCUUCUCUGGAUGAGUUGCGAACGGGUGUGUAACGCGUAGGUAACCUGCCUGGUACGGGGGGAUAACGAUUGGAAACGAUAGCUAAUACCGCAUAAGAGUAGAUGUUGCAUUUCAUUUUCUUAAAAGGUGCAAUUGCUUCACUACUAGAUGGACCUGAGUUGUAUUAGCUAGUUGGUGGUGUAACGGCGCACCGAGGCGACGAUAGAUAACCGCCCAGAGAGGGGGAGCGGACACGCUGGGAUGGGAGCAUGACCCGCAACACUGGGGCAGGGAGCAGGAGGGGACUCUCAGGAAUGGAAGGAAGUCUGAACGAGCAACGCCGGGUGAGAGAAGAAGGGUUUCGGGUCGUGAAGGUGUGUUGGGCGAGAAGAACGAGAGUGACAGUGGAAAGUGCACAUUGUGACGGUACCUUAACAAAAAGCGACGGCUAACUACGUG